Molecule: ribosomal RNA, 496 nt
Filed under: uncultured bacterium
Lineage: Bacteria
Description: partial 16S ribosomal RNA
Rfam family: Bacterial small subunit ribosomal RNA
Source: RNAcentral
GAUGAACGCUGGCGGCGUGCCUAAUACAUGCAAGUCGAGCGAACGGACGAGAAGCUUGCUUCUCUGAUGUUAGCGGCGGACGGGUGAGUAACACGUGGAUAACCUACCUAUAAGACUGGGAUAACUUCGGGAAACCGGAGCUAAUACCGGAUAAUAUUUUGAACCGCAUGGUUCAAAAGUGAAAGACGGUCUUGCUGUCACUUAUAGAUGGAUCCGCGCUGCAUUAGCUAGUUGGUAAGGUAACGGCUUACCAAGGCAACGAUGCAUAGCCGACCUGAGAGGGUGAUCGGCCACACUGGAACUGAGACACGGUCCAGACUCCUACGGGAGGCAGCAGUAGGGAAUCUUCCGCAAUGGGCGAAGCCUGACGGAGCAACGCCGCGUGAGUGAUGAAGGUCUUCGGAUCGUAAAACUCUGUUAUUAGGGAAGAACAUAUGUGUAAGUAACUGUGCACAUCUUGACGGUACCUAAUCAGAAAGCCACGGCUAACUACGUG